CCCUUAGAUGUCCUGGGCCGCACGCGCGUUACACUGAUGCAUUCAACGAGCAUAUAACCUUGGCCGGGAGGCCUGGGUAAUCUUGUUAACAUGCAUCGUGAUAGGGAUAGAUUAUUGCAAUUAUUAAUCUUGAACGAGGAAUUCCUAGUAAUCGCAGUUCAUCAAACUGCAAUGAUUACGUCCCUGCCCUUUGUACACACCGCCCGUCGCACCUACCGAUUGAAUGGUCCGGUGAGGACUCGGGAUUGUGGUUUAGCUCCUUCAUUGGGGCCUGACUGCGAGAACUUGUCCGAACCUUAUCAUUUAGAGGAAGGUGAAGUCGUAACA
RNAcentral lists this ribosomal RNA (327 nucleotides) under uncultured eukaryote. RNAcentral describes it as "partial 18S ribosomal RNA". It matches the Rfam family "Eukaryotic small subunit ribosomal RNA", at positions 1470 to 1796 of the family's 1831-position model. The record is from RNAcentral.